GGUGGCUCAGAUGUCCAAGACCACGUGGCUGUGACUGAGACUACUGAAGCCGAUGGAAGCUGGCUGGUGUUCCCAUUGCAAACAUCGCUCUCCCCUGGGAGCCGGGCCCAGGAAUGCCUGCCACCCCAGCCAUGCUGGGUUCCAGCAACUUGAAUCGCAAUUUCUUUGGAUUCCACAGUAGCAGAAUCCUGCCUUGGAAGUAACACUGGACAGACUAUGGAUUGGAGCGAAUGUGAUGGGCUGAUGCAAAUCCUCAAAUGCAGUGAUUCUUCGAAAGAGAAGCUGUUGCUUUAUCAUUGUUAUCUUUGACACCAUAGCCACCCUCAACAUGAUACGCCCUUCAUAACUAACAUUUAUAGGGCAAUCACUGUGGACCAGCCACUGGGAGAAUGAGUGCCUUGAGGGUAGGGCCCAUGCACCCUCAGCCCCUAACACAGAUACUGACAUUCGGUAAAAGCACAUCAAAUGCAUCAAUCAACAUAAUUGACCGAGGA
Long non-coding RNA from Myotis brandtii (Brandt's bat), 494 nucleotides. RefSeq lists it as uncharacterized. The transcript is spliced from 4 exons. The record is from RefSeq and is a predicted model, not a curated record. NCBI's taxonomy places the organism in Eukaryota, Metazoa, Chordata, Mammalia, Chiroptera, Vespertilionidae.